This 1106-nucleotide ribosomal RNA is filed under the name uncultured fungus. Its description in RNAcentral is "eukaryotic LSU rRNA". The stretch from base 517 to 1106 matches the Rfam family "Eukaryotic large subunit ribosomal RNA", at positions 1 to 593 of the family's 3401-position model. The record is from RNAcentral. Lineage: Eukaryota; Fungi.
ACGUGUUUUGAACCGUAAGGUUCAUUAUUCCAACGCUGUGCGCCUUUGGGCUGCACGCUGAGGGAAAACACCUAUCCACACCUGUGCACACACACGGUUGGAGGGCUUAAUUGCCCGCCGACCGAUAUCACACACGUCAUUAUUCAGUUCUGUAUGUGACCUUUUAUAAACACAACUUUCAGCAACGGAUCUCUUGGCUCUCGCAUCGAUGAAGAACGCAGCGAAAUGCGAUAAGUAAUGUGAAUUGCAGAAUUCAGUGAAUCAUCGAAUCUUUGAACGCACCUUGCGCCACGUGGUAUUCCACGGGGCACGCCUGUUUGAGUGUCACGUUAACCCUCGCACCGUGGAUUGUAAAAAGUCUGCGGGGCGGAUUUGGAGGCUUGCCGUGAGAACGGCUCCUCUCGAAAUGCAUUAGCUGUCUAAAGACUGCGCUGCUGGUGUAAUAAUUUACUUUGCGCCUAUGGAACGGUCUGGCGGUGGCUCAUAAUCGUCCGCAAGGACAACAUUUUUAAGCUUUGACCUCAAAUCAGGUGGGACUACCCGCUGAACUUAAGCAUAUCAAUAAGCGGAGGAAAAGAAACUAACAAGGAUUCCCCUAGUAACGGCGAGUGAAGAGGGAAGAGCUCAAAUUUAAAAUCUGGCGGCCUACGGCCGUCCGAGUUGUAAUUUAGAGAGGCGUUUUCCGCGUCGGACCCCACACAAGUUCCCUGGGAUGGGACGUCAAAGAGGGUGAGAAUCCCGUUUGUGGUGGGGACUACCGAGGCUAUGUGAUGCGCCCUCGAAGAGUCGAGUUGUUUGAGAAUGCAGCUCAAAACGGGUGGUAAAUUCCAUCUAAAGCUAAAUAUUGGCGAGAGACCGAUAGCGAACAAGUACCGUGAGGGAAAGAUGAAAAGAACUUUGGAAAGAGAGUUAAACAGUACGUGAAAUUGCUGAAAGGGAAACGCUUGGAGUCAGUCGCUUCGCCGAGGAUUCAGCCUGGCUUUUGCCUGGUGUACUUCCUCGAUGAGGGGCCAACAUCGACUUCGGGUGCGGGAAAUGGGUCGCAGGAAUGUGCCACCUUUCGGUGGGUUAUAGCCUGCGAUCAGUACUGCGUCUGGGAUCGAGGA